RNAcentral lists this ribosomal RNA (305 nucleotides) under uncultured bacterium. RNAcentral describes it as "bacterial SSU rRNA". It matches the Rfam family "Bacterial small subunit ribosomal RNA", at positions 333 to 635 of the family's 1533-position model. The record is from RNAcentral.
AAUCUCCUACGGGGGGCAGCAGUGAGGAAUAUUGGUCAAUGGGCGCGAGCCUGAACCAGCCAAGUCGCGUGAGGGAAGACGGUCCUAUGGAUUGUAAACUUCUUUUGUCAGGGAGCAAUUGGGUCCACGCGUGGGCUUAGCGAGAGUACCUGAAGAAAAAGCAUCGGCUAACUCCGUGCCAGCAGCCGCGGUAAUACGGAGGAUGCGAGCGUUAUCCGGAUUUAUUGGGUUUAAAGGGUGCGUAGGCGGAAUAUCAAGUCAGCGGUAAAAAUUCGGGGCUCAACCCCGUCGUGCCGUUGAAACUG